This 520-nucleotide ribosomal RNA is filed under the name uncultured Glomus. RNAcentral's name for it is "SSU rRNA". It matches the Rfam family "Eukaryotic small subunit ribosomal RNA", at positions 569 to 1091 of the family's 1831-position model. The record is from RNAcentral. Lineage: Eukaryota; Fungi; Glomeromycota; Glomeromycetes; Glomerales; Glomeraceae.
AGCAGCCGCGGUAAUUCCAGCUCCAAUAGCGUAUAUUAAAGUUGUUGCAGUUAAAAAGCUCGUAGUUGAAUUUCGGGGUCAGUAGGCUGGUCGUGCCACAGGUACGUACUGGUCUCACUGAUUCCUCCUUCCUGAUGAACCGUAAUGCCAUUAAUUUGGUGUUGCGGGGAAACUGGACUGUUACUUUGAAAAAAUUAGAGUGUUUAAAGCAGGCUAACGCUUGAAUACAUUAGCAUGGAAUAAUGAAAUAGGACGUUCGAUCCUAUUUUGUUGGUUUCUAGGAUUGACGUAAUGAUUAAUAGGGAUAGUUGGGGGCAUUAGUAUUCAAUUGUCAGAGGUGAAAUUCUUGGAUUUAUUGAAGACUAACUACUGCGAAAGCAUUUGCCAAGGAUGUUUUCAUUAAUCAAGAACGAAAGUUAGGGGAUCGAAGACGAUCAGAUACCGUCGUAGUCUUAACCAUAAACUAUGCCGACUAGGGAUCGGAUGAUGUUAAUUUUUAAUGACUCAUUCGGCGCCUUAC